This 227-nucleotide small RNA is filed under the name Vigna angularis var. angularis. RNAcentral's name for it is "Non-protein coding transcript". Lineage: Eukaryota; Viridiplantae; Streptophyta; Magnoliopsida; Fabales; Fabaceae. The record is from RNAcentral.
UCAAACGAAAGGAGAGUAUGAAACAGAUGGAAAGUUAGGUGAUUCUACAGAUGUAGAUCUUACCUUUUGGGCAAAAUGUGAAAGGCAACUAAAGUUGGAGGUGCAAGAAGAAAACAAUGGGAUACAGGAAGAAACUCCCAUUGAACUGUAAUAGUACAAACUCCUAUUGUUAGGCCCAUCAUACUAGUUAGCAUUCUUGGGCCACUAUUAGGCUCAUCAUAUUAGUA